AAUAAGUGUUUUAUGGCACUUUUUAAAUCCAUAUCCACCUUGUGUGCAAUGUCAGUCGAUCUUCUUCAUGGAGAUCGACCAAACAUCAACCUUUAUUUUUUAACUCUUUGUCUGAAAAAUAUUAUGAAUAAACAAUUCAAAAUACAACUUUCAACAACGGAUCUCUUGGCUCU
This 173-nucleotide unclassified non-coding RNA is filed under the name rhizosphere metagenome. RNAcentral describes it as "partial ribosomal RNA internal transcribed spacer region". The record is from RNAcentral.